AGCGGGCUCUAGAGACUUGAAGAAACUUGAAGAAAACACGCCCUGCUCUCAGUCUUGACAGGAUACAACACACAGCUCCUUUUUCGCCCCGUGUGCACACUGGCAUUGCGGUAAUGGCGGUGUAGUGGUUACAUUAAUUAACACAGGACUGUCUUUACCCGUGAUGUGCCGUGGCGCAAUUACCACGUAAAAUGGGUAGACUAGGUUUUCAGUGGGGUUCAGACUGGAGACGGGUGACCACUGGAAAACCUCCCCUCUGUGAUCAGUGAACCACUUCGUGUGUUUAUAUGAAGGAUUCAUAUCAGUGUCCGGCUGGGAGAUCCAGUGAUGAUCCAGAUUUAACAUCCUGAGAGAGGCAGUCUGCUUUUGCUCUGAAAUGUCCUAUAAACAUUCUCCUCUCUCUGCCCACUUGUUCAUUAGAGCAACUGGAUUUCUGUAAAACUGCUUUGUGUUAUUGUGUCUUAUAAAAGGCACUACAGAAAUAAACCUGAACGAAACUGAGUUAAA
This is a long non-coding RNA of Electrophorus electricus (electric eel), 507 nucleotides long. RefSeq lists it as uncharacterized. NCBI's taxonomy places the organism in Eukaryota, Metazoa, Chordata, Actinopteri, Gymnotiformes, Gymnotidae. The record is from RefSeq and is a predicted model, not a curated record.